RNAcentral lists this ribosomal RNA (266 nucleotides) under Acinetobacter baumannii OIFC032. RNAcentral describes it as "partial 16S ribosomal RNA". It matches the Rfam family "Bacterial small subunit ribosomal RNA", at positions 1187 to 1452 of the family's 1533-position model. The record is from RNAcentral. Lineage: Bacteria; Pseudomonadati; Pseudomonadota; Gammaproteobacteria; Moraxellales; Moraxellaceae.
AAGUCAUCAUGGCCCUUACGGCCAGGGCUACACACGUGCUACAAUGGUCGGUACAAAGGGUUGCUACACAGCGAUGUGAUGCUAAUCUCAAAAAGCCGAUCGUAGUCCGGAUUGGAGUCUGCAACUCGACUCCAUGAAGUCGGAAUCGCUAGUAAUCGCGGAUCAGAAUGCCGCGGUGAAUACGUUCCCGGGCCUUGUACACACCGCCCGUCACACCAUGGGAGUUUGUUGCACCAGAAGUAGCUAGCCUAACUGCAAAGAGGGCG